UCCACCAGAGAAACAAACCAAUCUAUCAACCAGAGAAACUAUGUACUAAUCAGGACAAGACCUCAAAACUAUUUGUUAUCAGACAUUAUAAUCGGACAGCGAUGAUGCAACUGCUCGGAUCAAAAGAAUGACACACAAUCCAUAAAUUCAGUAUCAUCGGCUAUUACCUUAUUAUAGUCAUUUGUUAAGCAUAUUGAUUACUUUUCACAACCACCUAAUACUACACAUUCAAUUAACAUCAGAAAUACAACCUGCUGUUUUGCGAAGCAAGAAAGCAGGAUAAAAGUCAGAAUUAGGAAUUAACACACACAUAAAGCUACCAUUAAAGGUUAGUGAUUACUGAUUACAAGCCAUAUAAAAAGAAA
Long non-coding RNA from Lycium ferocissimum, 365 nucleotides. RefSeq lists it as uncharacterized. The transcript has 2 exons. Lineage: Eukaryota; Viridiplantae; Streptophyta; Magnoliopsida; Solanales; Solanaceae. The record is from RefSeq and is a predicted model, not a curated record.